GACGAACCGUGCGAACGUUAUUCGGAAUCACUGGGCUUAAAGCGCGUGUAGGCGGGCGGGCACGUCCGGCGCUGAAAUCCCCCGGCUCAACCGGGGAACGGGCGCGGAUACGACCUUCCUCGAGGGACGUAGGGGGACCUGGAACUUCCGGUGGAGCGGUGAAAUGCGUUGAGAUCGGAAGGAACGCCCGUGGCGAAAGCGAGGUCCUGGACGUUUACUGACGCUGAGACGCGAAAGCCAGGGGAGCGAACGGG
This 254-nucleotide ribosomal RNA is filed under the name uncultured bacterium. RNAcentral's name for it is "partial 16S ribosomal RNA". It matches the Rfam family "Bacterial small subunit ribosomal RNA", at positions 524 to 776 of the family's 1533-position model. The record is from RNAcentral.